AAAUUGAAGAGUUUGAUCAUGGCUCAGAUUGAACGCUGGCGGCAGGCCUAACACAUGCAAGUCGAACGGUAGCACAGAGAGCUUGCUCUCGGGUGACGAGUGGCGGACGGGUGAGUAAUGUCUGGGAAACUGCCCGAUGGAGGGGGAUAACUACUGGAAACGGUAGCUAAUACCGCAUAA
This 180-nucleotide ribosomal RNA is filed under the name Citrobacter freundii. RNAcentral describes it as "partial 16S ribosomal RNA". It matches the Rfam family "Bacterial small subunit ribosomal RNA", at positions 1 to 176 of the family's 1533-position model. Lineage: Bacteria; Pseudomonadati; Pseudomonadota; Gammaproteobacteria; Enterobacterales; Enterobacteriaceae. The record is from RNAcentral. RNAcentral also lists the same sequence under 2 other names.